This is a long non-coding RNA of Panicum hallii, 752 nucleotides long. RefSeq lists it as uncharacterized. The record is from RefSeq and is a predicted model, not a curated record. The transcript is spliced from 3 exons. NCBI's taxonomy places the organism in Eukaryota, Viridiplantae, Streptophyta, Magnoliopsida, Poales, Poaceae.
CAGCAGCUAGCUUGCUGCUCUCAAACUGUGCCUGUAGUGAUUUCUUGGACAUGCUCCUUAGUAAGACACGACGGGCAUAAAAGCAAGCAAUAAUUAAUGGCUGCAAUGCUAUCAUGACAAGCGCCAAGCGCCAAGAAGUGACCAAGCCUAUGGUGCAUGCAAUUAGCACAGCGGAAAUUGUCUGGAUUACAAGCGCCAUUCGGUCCCCUACAAGUGACCUCACCUACAAUACAAAUAUUUUCAUAUUUGAUCAGGACUCAGGAAUCCUAGUACUAGUAUUACAAUGUACCUGUACUAGAAGCUGCCAAGCUGGGUACCUUUGGAGCUCUCCAAGCUAAUUGAACUUACUAGAACAUUGCUGUCUUCUCUAAUCCAGCCUGUAUAGAACAGGUCAACUUGUCGUACAUUUCUCGGGAACAGUUGCCGGCAGCUCUCUGAAUCUUAGGUUUGAGGAAGGCCUUUCCUAGUUUGUUAUUUUUCCGUUUCACUUAGCGCAUAGGCAGGACCCUCCGCCAGUGCUGUGGCCAUCUAGCAGCUAAGGCAGUAGUACUGUAGGGGUAGACUUGUGUUGGAGUGUAACAAAAGUUGUUCCUUUCAAAAGCAGCAGUGUUGCUUACUCGUGCUUCUUCUUUUUUUUGUAUUCUCCAGUAAAAUAACUGUGGUCCUGUACUUUUGGACUCAUGUGCUUACUAGAUAGUUAUUAGCCGAAUUAUUUAUUGUUGAUCAAAGGGUUAUAAAUAUCUUGUAAUUUU